Molecule: ribosomal RNA, 400 nt
Filed under: uncultured Prevotella sp.
Lineage: Bacteria; Pseudomonadati; Bacteroidota; Bacteroidia; Bacteroidales; Prevotellaceae
Description: bacterial SSU rRNA
Rfam family: Bacterial small subunit ribosomal RNA
Source: RNAcentral
UGAGGGAAUAUUGGGUCAAUGGGCGAGAGCCUGAACCAGCCAAGUAGCGUGCAGGAAGACGGCCCUAUGGGUUGUAAACUGCUUUUAUACGGGGAUAAAGUGGGCCACGUGUGGCUUAUUGCAGGUACCGUAUGAAUAAGGACCGGCUAAUUCCGUGCCAGCAGCCGCGGUAAUACGGAAGGUCCGGGCGUUAUCCGGAUUUAUUGGGUUUAAAGGGAGCGUAGGCCGCCUUUUAAGCGUGUUGUGAAAUGUAGGGGCUCAACCCCUGCACUGCAGCGCGAACUGGAGGGCUUGAGUACACACAAAGUAGGCGGAAUUCAUGGUGUAGCGGUGAAAUGCUUAGAUAUCAUGAAGAACCCCGAUUGCGAAGGCAGCUUACUGGAGUGUAACUGACGCUGAA